CAGUCGCCACGGUAAUACGAAGGGGGCUAGCGUUGUUCGGAAUUACUGGGCGUAAAGCGCACGUAGGCGGAUAUUUAAGUCAGGGGUGAAAUCCCGCAGCUCAACUGCGGAACUGCCUUUGAUACUGGGUAUCUUGAGUAUGGAAGAGGUUAGUGGAAUUGCGAGUGUAGAGGUGAAAUUUGUAGAUAUUCGCAGGAACACCAGUGGCGAAGGCGGCUAACUGGUCCAUAACUGACGCUGAGGUGCGAAAGCGUGGGGAGCAAACAGGAUUAGAUACCCCGGUAGUCCCUGUCUCUUAUAC
This 301-nucleotide ribosomal RNA is filed under the name uncultured bacterium. Its description in RNAcentral is "partial 16S ribosomal RNA". It matches the Rfam family "Bacterial small subunit ribosomal RNA", at positions 509 to 807 of the family's 1533-position model. The record is from RNAcentral.